This 71-nucleotide transfer RNA is filed under the name Strix occidentalis caurina (northern spotted owl). RNAcentral describes it as "tRNA-Lys". The record is from RNAcentral. Lineage: Eukaryota; Metazoa; Chordata; Aves; Strigiformes; Strigidae.
CAUUAAGAAGCUAUGUACCAGCACUAGCCUUUUAAGCUAGCGAAAGAGGAUUACUUCCCCCUCCUUAAUGA